RNAcentral lists this ribosomal RNA (220 nucleotides) under uncultured bacterium. RNAcentral describes it as "partial 16S ribosomal RNA". It matches the Rfam family "Bacterial small subunit ribosomal RNA", at positions 111 to 334 of the family's 1533-position model. The record is from RNAcentral.
UAAUGUAUGGGGAUCUGCCCGAUAGAGGGGGAUAACUACUGGAAACGGUGGCUAAUACCGCAUAAUGUCUACGGACCAAAGCAGGGGCUCUUCGGACCUUGCACUAUCGGAUGAACCCAUAUGGGAUUAGCUAGUAGGUGGGGUAAAGGCUCACCUAGGCGACGAUCUCUAGCUGGUCUGAGAAGAUGAUCAGCCACACUGGGACUGAGACACGGCCCAG